This 492-nucleotide ribosomal RNA is filed under the name uncultured bacterium. RNAcentral describes it as "partial 16S ribosomal RNA". It matches the Rfam family "Bacterial small subunit ribosomal RNA", at positions 28 to 507 of the family's 1533-position model. The record is from RNAcentral.
GAUGAACGCUCGCUAUAGGCUUAACACAUGCAAGUCGAGGGGAAACGGCAUUAUGUUCUUGCACAUUUUGGACGUCGACCGGCGCACGGGUGAGUAUCGCGUAUCCCAUCUGCCCUUUACUUGGGGAUACCCCGUUGAAAGACGGCCUAAUACCCGAUGUAAUUCAUUGAUGGCAUCAGAUAUGAAUAAAAGAUUUAUCGGUAAUGGAUGGGGAUGCGUCUGAUUAGCUUGUUGGUGAGGUAACGGCUCACCAAGGCGACGAUCAGUAGGGGUUCUGAGAGGAAGGUCCCCCACAGUGGAACUGAGACACAGUCCAAACAGCUACGGGGGGGAGCAGUGAGGAAUAUAGGUGAAUGGGCGCAAGCCUGAACCAGCCAAGUAGCGUGCAGGAAGACGGCGCUAGGGAUUGUAAACUGCUUGUAUACAAGAAUAAUUUGAUGCACGUGUGCGUUAUUGAAUGUAACGUAUGAAUAAGGACCGGCUAAUUACGUG